This 253-nucleotide ribosomal RNA is filed under the name uncultured bacterium. RNAcentral's name for it is "partial 16S ribosomal RNA". It matches the Rfam family "Bacterial small subunit ribosomal RNA", at positions 524 to 776 of the family's 1533-position model. The record is from RNAcentral.
UACGGAGGGUGCGAACGUUAAUCGGGAUCACUGGGCGUAAAGCGCGCGUAGGCGGUUUGUUAAGUGGGAUGUGAAAUCCCCGGGCUUAACCUGGGAAUUGCAUUUCAAACUGGCCGACUAGAGUACGGUAGAGGGAGGUAGAAUUUCCUGUGUAGCGGUGAAAUGCGUAGAUAUAGGAAGGAAUACCAGUGGCGAAGGCGGCCUCCUGGAUCGAUACUGACGCUGAGGCGCGAAAGCGUGGGGAGCAAACAGG